CUGGCUCAGGACGAACGCUGGCGGCGUGCCUAAUACAUGCAAGUCGAGCGGACGGAUGGGAGCUUGCUCCCGGAAGUCAGCGGCGGACGGGUGAGUAACACGUGGGCAACCUGCCUGUAAGACUGGGAUAACUUCGGGAAACCGGAGCUAAUACCGGAUAAUUCUUUCCCUCACAUGAGGGAAA
This 184-nucleotide ribosomal RNA is filed under the name Cytobacillus oceanisediminis. RNAcentral's name for it is "Bacillus oceanisediminis partial 16S ribosomal RNA". It matches the Rfam family "Bacterial small subunit ribosomal RNA", at positions 19 to 199 of the family's 1533-position model. The record is from RNAcentral. Lineage: Bacteria; Bacillati; Bacillota; Bacilli; Caryophanales; Bacillaceae.